This 916-nucleotide ribosomal RNA is filed under the name Staphylococcus aureus. RNAcentral describes it as "partial 23S ribosomal RNA". It matches the Rfam family "Bacterial large subunit ribosomal RNA", at positions 390 to 1313 of the family's 2925-position model. The record is from RNAcentral. Lineage: Bacteria; Bacillati; Bacillota; Bacilli; Caryophanales; Staphylococcaceae.
GUCUCUCUUGAGUGGAUCCUGAGUACGACGGAGCACGUGAAAUUCCGUCGGAAUCUGGGAGGACCAUCUCCUAAGGCUAAAUACUCUCUAGUGACCGAUAGUGAACCAGUACCGUGAGGGAAAGGUGAAAAGCACCCCGGAAGGGGAGUGAAAUAGAACCUGAAACCGUGUGCUUACAAGUAGUCAGAGCCCGUUAAUGGGUGAUGGCGUGCCUUUUGUAGAAUGAACCGGCGAGUUACGAUUUGAUGCAAGGUUAAGCAGUAAAUGUGGAGCCGUAGCGAAAGCGAGUCUGAAUAGGGCGUUUAGUAUUUGGUCGUAGACCCGAAACCAGGUGAUCUACCCUUGGUCAGGUUGAAGUUCAGGUAACACUGAAUGGAGGACCGAACCGACUUACGUUGAAAAGUGAGCGGAUGAACUGAGGGUAGCGGAGAAAUUCCAAUCGAACCUGGAGAUAGCUGGUUCUCUCCGAAAUAGCUUUAGGGCUAGCCUCAAGUGAUGAUUAUUGGAGGUAGAGCACUGUUUGGACGAGGGGCCCCUCUCGGGUUACCGAAUUCAGACAAACUCCGAAUGCCAAUUAAUUUAACUUGGGAGUCAGAACAUGGGUGAUAAGGUCCGUGUUCGAAAGGGAAACAGCCCAGACCACCAGCUAAGGUCCCAAAAUAUAUGUUAAGUGGAAAAGGAUGUGGCGUUGCCCAGACAACUAGGAUGUUGGCUUAGAAGCAGCCAUCAUUUAAAGAGUGCGUAAUAGCUCACUAGUCGAGUGACACUGCGCCGAAAAUGUACCGGGGCUAAACAUAUUACCGAAGCUGUGGAUUGUCCUUUGGACAAUGGUAGGAGAGCGUUCUAAGGGCGUUGAAGCAUGAUCGUAAGGACAUGUGGAGCGCUUAGAAGUGAGAAUGCCGGUGUGAGUAGCGAA